AGAUAAACCUUUGUUUCUUUGUACUGAUCGGGCUCGGUUUAGCCAUACUAUCAGCCUAUUGAACUUGGCUUGCUGGCAAGUGCUGAAAAUCAUCUCAUUUUCUUAUAAUUAUUCUAACAAUGCGGUUAGCCAUACUAUCAGCCUAUUGAAUUUGGCUUGCUGGCAAAUGCUGAAAAUCAUCUCAUUUUGUUAUAAUUAUUCUAACAAUGCUCUCAUGUUCUUUUCAUUGAUUCCUUUCUUAAACACAAGCUAUGUGCCACAAACGUGUUAGGUCUUUGCUAUACUCGAGUAGGAUUUUUGUUUUCAGGAUAUACAUUUAGACUAUAAUGUCUUUUGUAGUGAAAAGGUAUCUUCCUGUUUUGGGGGUUGUCAAGAUGCCGGACAUAUCUUUGAGAAAAAUUGAUCAAGUUGAAAAAGUAAAAACUUUUAAAUUUGCUUAUGCUACUUUUUCUUUAUAGUAGGGUUACGCUUGGAGUACUUUUGUGCAACCAUUAUCUUUAGUUUCUGUGUCCUCAGUGGAAAAUUGAAGACGAACAUACUUUAGAUCCUACAGUUGGCUAGCUCAUUAUUAGCAGUCAUUGUGCAUCAAGCCAUCAUUUGGACAUGCCUGCAGAUACCAUCAUCAGUCAGAAACAUUGUAUACCUAUGACACAAGUGAUCCACCAGCAGUUAUUCUAUCCUCUGUCCUUGUGGCUUAAUCGUUUGCCUCAUGGAACCCAAGUGUCGCUGAAGUUAGCUCUUCAUCUCAGAACUCCCUGAAUUCAGUCACACUUUUGUUUGAUCUGUGUCCCAUCAAUGCACCUGAGUAUAUGAAGUCUCUGGCUAGGUGCACAAAUUUGUGGUUUCCCUGGUGUCCAUGAUUGCUCAAGGUACUUGGGCAGUGAUUCCAGUUAGGUGUAAAUUAUAUAUUAUUUUCGGGUUGAGCAGAAGAGUGGGAGGGAGCACUAUAACUUAGUUCAUGGGUGCAAAUAAACAACCUAUAAGGUUUGUCAUAAGUUAUUCUUUGUGAACUUUGCGAGCACAGGCUUUCUGGAGGUAAUGUGUGAUGUAUAAUCAGGUUGUUACAUGUGAGUAUAUAAUAAUUGGUCGUGUUUGAUAAAUGUUUGACUUUUG
This 1113-nucleotide long non-coding RNA is filed under the name Nicotiana benthamiana. Its description in RNAcentral is "long non-coding RNA (NBEN_LNC032286)". The record is from RNAcentral. Lineage: Eukaryota; Viridiplantae; Streptophyta; Magnoliopsida; Solanales; Solanaceae.